Non-coding RNA from Sturnus vulgaris (Common starling), 89 nucleotides. The record is from RefSeq and is a predicted model, not a curated record. NCBI's taxonomy places the organism in Eukaryota, Metazoa, Chordata, Aves, Passeriformes, Sturnidae.
GACAAAUCUGAAAAACACCUUCCCCCAACCCCUCCCUCCUUCACAGGCUCUACAUCCUCCCUGCAGUGGCACAGGGAGACAGGGAUGGG